GUACCAGACUCCUACGGGAGGCAGCAGUGGGGAAUAUUGCACAAUGGGGGAAACCCUGAUGCAGCGACGCCGCGUGAGUGAAGAAGUAUUUCGGUCCGUAAAGCUCUAUCAGCAGGGAAGAAAAAAAGUCCUUGGACUUUGGACGGUACCUGACUAAGAAGCCCCGGCUAACUACGUGCCAGCAGCCGCGGUAAUACGUAGGGGGCAAGCGUUAUCCGGAUUUACUGGGUGUAAAGGGAGCGUAGACGGCAGCGCAAGUCUGGAGUGAAAUGCCGGGGCCCAACCCCGGAACUGCUUUGGAAACUGUGCAGCUGGAGUGCAGGAGAGGGAAGCGGAAUUCCUAGUGUAGCGGUGAAAUGCGUAGAUAUUAGGAGGAACACCAGUGGCGAAGGUGGCUUACUGGACUGUAACUGACGUUGAGGCUCGAAAGCGUGGGGGGCAAACAGGAUUAGAUACCCCGGUAACC
Molecule: ribosomal RNA, 466 nt
Filed under: uncultured bacterium
Lineage: Bacteria
Description: bacterial SSU rRNA
Rfam family: Bacterial small subunit ribosomal RNA
Source: RNAcentral